AUGCAGCCUUUUGGUGUAUGGGGUGACGCUUCCAUUGAGCUAUCUGGCCAGGGACUGCAAGACAUCUAUCUAUAAAAAGAAGGCCAAUCUCAACACAAUAAUUCUGAAUUCACAGAAGAACAAAAGAGAACCAUAGGCAAAAUUGCAUCAUGCUUAGAAUUAUGAAGUGCAGCUUUAUAGUCCACACAGUUUAAAGAAGAAUUUAAACUGGAGGACCUGAAGAAGCUAGAACCAAUCCUAAAGAAUCUGCUUACAUAUAACAAAGAACUCCCAUUUGAUGUUCAGCCUGUCACCUUAAGAAGGAUUUUAGCACCUGUCGAAGAAGAGAAUUUGGAAUUUGAAGAAGAUGAAGAAGAGGGUGGUGCUGGAGGAGCAGGGUUUCCUGAUUCAUUUCCUGCUAGAGUUCCUGUUACUUUAUUAACAAGGUUGCCAUCAGAACCAGGGAUGACGUUACUCACUAUCAGAAUUGAGAAAAAUUGGUCUGAAAGACGCUGGACAGUGCAUUGAUCCCUAUAUCACAGUUAGUAUAAAGGAUCUGAAUGGUAUAUAUUUAACUUAUGUGCAAAAUACUCCUGUGGCUUCAAGGAAAGCCACAUUUUAAUGUGGACAUCGAGCUCCAGAACCAUAUUGAAAAAUUAACCAAAGAUGUAGCUAUCUUGUUUGAAUUCAAACACAUAAGCCUAAGAAAAGAUUCACCAGUACCAAGUGUUUUGCUUUGAUGGAGAUGGAUGAAGUUAAGUCUGGGCCCAUUGUAAUAGAACUACAUAAGAAACCCACUGAUUUUAAAAGAAAGAAACUACAAUUACUGACCAAGAAACCACUUUAUCUUCAUCUACAUCAAACUUUGUACAAGGAAUGA
RNA transcript from Molossus molossus (Pallas's mastiff bat), 859 nucleotides. It is a transcript of the gene named axin interactor, dorsalization-associated protein-like, with no coding region annotated. The record is from RefSeq and is a predicted model, not a curated record. The transcript has 2 exons. NCBI's taxonomy places the organism in Eukaryota, Metazoa, Chordata, Mammalia, Chiroptera, Molossidae.